UCCGGUGUCGCCCAGUCGGUAGGGCAACGGACUGUUAAUCCGUCAGGCGCUGGUUCGAGCCCAGCCACCGGAGCC
This 75-nucleotide transfer RNA is filed under the name Micromonospora parathelypteridis. RNAcentral describes it as "tRNA-Asn". It matches the Rfam family "tRNA". Rfam says of the family: Transfer RNA (tRNA) molecules are approximately 80 nucleotides in length. The record is from RNAcentral. Lineage: Bacteria; Bacillati; Actinomycetota; Actinomycetes; Micromonosporales; Micromonosporaceae.